GAUGAACGCUGGCGGCGUGCCUAAUACAUGCAAGUCGAGCGAACAGACGAGGAGCUUGCUCCUCUGACGUUGGCGGCGGACGGGUGAGUAACACGUGGAUAACCUACCUAUAAGACUGGGAUAACUUCGGGAAACCGGAGCUAAUACCGGAUAAUAUAUUGAACCGCAUGGUUCAAUAGUGAAAGACGGUUUUGCUGUCACUUAUAGAUGGAUCCGCGCCGCAUUAGCUAGUUGGUAAGGUAACGGCUUACCAAGGCAACGAUGCGUAGCCGACCUGAGAGGGUGAUCGGCCACACUGGAACUUAGACACGGUCCAGACUCCUACGGGAGGCAGCAGUAGGGAAUCUUCCGCAAUGGGCGAAAGCCUGACGGAGCAACGCCGCGUGAGUGAUGAAGGUCUUCGGAUCGUAAAACUCUGUUAUUAGGGAAGAACAAAUGUGUAAGUAACUAUGCACGUCUUGACGGUACCUAAUCAGAAAGCCACGGCUAACUACGUG
This 497-nucleotide ribosomal RNA is filed under the name uncultured bacterium. Its description in RNAcentral is "partial 16S ribosomal RNA". It matches the Rfam family "Bacterial small subunit ribosomal RNA", at positions 28 to 507 of the family's 1533-position model. The record is from RNAcentral.